RNAcentral lists this long non-coding RNA (13299 nucleotides) under Solanum tuberosum (potato). Its description in RNAcentral is "long non-coding RNA (STUB_LNC009512)". Lineage: Eukaryota; Viridiplantae; Streptophyta; Magnoliopsida; Solanales; Solanaceae. The record is from RNAcentral.
AAUUCUUGUAAGGUGCUUCUUCCCCAUCCAUUAAUUCCCUUAAAGUUAUUGAUGAAGCUUUUGGCCUUGCAACUUGCUAAACUCUUAUGGUAUGGAUACUUCAAUGUUUCUUUAAUAAUUCUAGCUUCAUCACAUGAGUCACUAUUUGCAAGACAUGCAUUUAGGUGAUCACCACUAAAAUUUGCAACUUCAUCAAGUAUGUGUUCACCUUCUACACCAAGUUGUGAUGCUUCAUAUAAACCAAUUAAUCCAUUUACAUCAUCUUGGCUAAGGUUUAAUCCAAAUGUCCCAUCAUCAUUGUUCUUGAAUCUUUUAAAUACAUCUGCCCAAUGCAAUAUAAGGUUGUUAGAUUAAAAUAUUUCAAAUCGAGGAUUAACUUUUAUAUACAAUGUGAAUGUAGUACUACAAUAAUUUAGAAAUAUUGGACUUCAAUGGAAAACCAAUUACCUGCUGACACGUGGUAACCUUCUUGUCUCAAAAGUCUGAAACAAAGUGAAAUAUCAUGAUGGUUUUGAUAUUUGUAAAAACAAGCACUUUGCUCAUAUUCCUUUUGUAAAAUUGAUUGAAUCUCUUCUUGAAAAUGGUGUUCAAUUCCCAUACGUUGAAGUGCAUCCACUAAAACAAGAUCGUUAGUACUAUUUAUUUGUGUCCUUAGUGCAUACUUUACAUCCUUCACAAGUAGUCCAAAUUUGGUACUAUUGAAUCCAUCCUGCAUUAGUAAUUAAGUAUUUUCUUAGUAUAAAAAAAACAAGAAUGGGAAAAUACUAUUUAUGGUGCAUCUUUCCCCUUUGUAUUAGUAGUAAGGUUAUCAAAAGGAUUUCUGAUUGGGCGGUUACUUUGCGAUAUUGUGUCAAUUCAAGUUUCGAACUUGUGCAGAUUUGAUUUUCUCUGAGAUCUCGAGAAUUCUUUAGUAAAGGCAUGGCUUAAGCCCACUCGGGACGGGAGAUUUUUCAACUACUAUUAUAAUUACAGCUCGUACAACCUUAAGGAAUCGAGACUAGUCUAAUAAGUUACUAGCUUUAUAGUUUGUUUUCUACUGAAUUACAUAAUUGAUUUAACUUACAUAGUGCAACAGUACGGUAUUGACACUCCUUUAUUGGAAAUUACAUCGUAUAAAUAGAUUUACUUUUAUAUAUAUAUGUUUGUCGCGUUAUGAAUUUUUAUUCAGAAUUUGUAUCAUUUAAUGAUGCUAUGUGAAUUGCUAGAAAAAUAUGAAGUAUAUUACUAGCUCAAUAACAAAAGUUUUAUAUGGGGAUUAGAAAAGACUACCAUGAUACAAAAGUAUAUUACAAGCUCAAUAAUAUAAACAAAAGAGAUGCAUUUUGCUAGCUCAAUGUUAUGUCUCAACUUACUUCAUGAAUCUUUAACUUAUACACGGAUAAUAUAUUUUAUGUAUGAUAGGAUAAAAUUAUCUAAUAUUAUCAAUUUAUAAAAGUUAAAAUCUUACGUUAUAGUAGCUUGUUUGAAGAUGAGAGGUUUCUUUAAAAAGAUCUUCUUGAACAUUCCAUUUGUUAGAGCUCCUGCAUGAAACUUGAAUACUUCUUUUGCUUCCAAUUUGGCAAAGAUAUAAUUGUGAAGGGUAGAAAGCUAUAGUAAUAUUUGCCAUGAAAGAUAAUUUAAUAUAUACAAAUAUUUCCCUGCCCAGUUUUCUUUUACCUUUGUCUCUUUCUCGUUAUAUACAUACACAAAUUAUACAAUUGAUCUUUUGUAUACAACUGCUUUCUUUUGUAUAUGUAUAGCGAAUUAUACAUAUAUAUGUUUGCUAUGGAGCGCAAUUAUGCAAACUUUGCUAUAGCAUACAAAUAUGAAUUUUGUGUUUGCUAUAUGUGAAAGUUGCUCUAAAAUUAUCUAUGAUUAAUUAUUUACUGAUCUCCACAAGUUGACUAUUAUAAUUAUUUUUUCUAAAGAAGUUGAUCUAUUGAGGUCGGUAUUUAUAUUUAUUUAUUUUUGAUAAAUAUCUCGACUUGGUCAACAAUAAAAAAAUUUCAUCAGUAAUAAAUAUGUCGACUUGGAAGUAGUUAUUUCGUAAGAAAUUACUAAAAAAUGUGCUUGAGUGAUAAGUAUAUUUUGACUAUGUAUUUUAGAUUUAUGAUUCAAUUCCUAUAAGUACUUUUUUUAUAUAAUGAUGUUUUACUUUCAGAGUGAAUAUUGUUAAUAAUUAAUCGAAUCUAAAAAUAAUAUUGAUUACUAAAUGAAGAAAUAAGUAGAAUAAAAGAAUGUCAACAUAGAGGACAAGCGUGAAACACAUUUACAACGAUUUUUUGCACAUAAGUAUCACGUGUGGUCAAUAGUGACGACGAUAGUGAAGUGGUUAAAGUAAGCAUACAAUAAAUAACUAAUAUAUUUUUUUAUCGAAAAGAUUCGAACAUGUCAAAUCUACCUAGCUUCGCCCUGGUAUGCAAUGGGCAAUCUCAGUAACAUGCUUCUAUCAAAGCAGUAAAACUCGACCAUCGUCUCAGUAAAGUAGCUCAUAGAUAUAGGAUACGAACGAUUAACAGUUCUUGCUAAAAAAAAGGUAGGGUUGUUCGCAAUCGAAUUGAAUAAUACAAAUUGAAAAAAAGUUAUUUGAUUUAUUGAUAAUGAAUUAUUGAUUUAGUAGUUUAGAUAACGAUUUUGAUUUUUUUAAUUAUCGGUUCUUAACGGUUUAAGAUUUUUUCUUAGUAGGUUAACCAUAAUCUGAUAGUAAAUUAAUAAAUUAUAUUUAUCAUUCGAUAUAUAAAGUCUUUGACUUAGGAUUUAGUUUCAUACUUUUAUUUUUUGUUGUCUCAACUCUUAGUUAUUUUACAGUGUAGUAGUGUUUGCUUUUGAGCAAGACGCAAACUAUCAACUCAUGUACCUAGUUCAUUUGGUUUGUCACCUUGAUUCCAAGUGAUCUUCAAUGAUUAUUUGGUUUAAUCAAUUAUGUUGGUUAUAAAAGUUAGACCAACAUUAUAAUGAUCAAUAAACGAUAAAUCAAUAUCUUGAUGAUUAUAUAAUAAUUUGACAUGUCUAUAAAUUAAUAAUCGACAAAUUAAAUCGAUAAAAUUCAAAAUCAAAUCAAAUCGAAUCGACCACGCAAUUACUUACCUCACAUUUGUGGUGGGCACAACUCCCAGGUAGGGGUGGUGGCCCAAACUCUGCAAUAUUAUCUCUAGCUAUUGAUAUCCACAAAUUAAAUUGAAUCUUAAUUUAUUUGGACAUCAAAAAUCAACAUCAAAAUCGACGAGAUUCCUUGAUUUUCGUAAAAUAAAAUAACAUUGGACUUUUUUUCUUAAUUUUAGUAUAAUUUUAAAUUUGCAAGAUUCCUUGAUUUUCGUAAAACAACAUUUUCAUUCUUUUAGUACUUAUAAUUUUACAAAACCAAUACAUAAAUAACACUGUUCUUUCCUAUUUUACCCUUUUUUAACAACCAACUAUUAUGAUUUAUGGUCACAUCACACACGUAUAGACUUCAAAGGUAAUGUUUAUACAAGUUCCAUUCAAGUUGAGUCUACUGCCAGAAUAAAUAAAAUAAUUUUUUUUAAUUUAAAAUUUUUAAUUAUUUUUUCUUUUAACAACAUUAAUCUCUCCUCACAUUAGCAAAAUAAGUAAAAAUGUUAGAAAUACUUAAAUCUAUCUUAGUUUUUAAAAAUAAUAAGUAUUUGGGGUCAAUUAUUUUUAGUAAUCAUGAUAAAUAAAAUGAACCAAUACUUUUAGGUAGGCACAUCGUCUCACCGACACUAACAAGUACUCUCUUUCAUUUACUUUUACUUAUCCGUUAUUUUUAAAAUAGAUUUUCAUUUUUAUGACUUUCAACGUAUUAAGAAAUUAAGUACAAUUUUUAUAUAUUUCACACUUAGCAGUAAUUAUUUAUUUUCUAAAUUAUUAUUUCUUAAGAGAUGUACGAGAUUUAAAAUGAACAAAUAAAAAUGAACGGAGAAAUUAACAACCAACAAUUUGUAGUGUAGGCAUUUAGAAACGUCACUUUAUUCUUCUCCCAUCACACAGUUCAAAAUGUCAUGUUGGUCUAACUUUAGUUAUCUAAAAAUCCAACAUAAUUCACUGUACUCCUUUCUUGGUUAAUCAUCUAUUUCAAAGUUUUUAAAAUUAUUUUGUUUUAGUUUCUUAUAAAUAUAUCCCAACUACCCCUUUUGAUUUGUCUCUUGCUGGACAAAGAAAAAUAUUGUGAGCCCUUAACUAAUUUUCUAUACGAAUGAGAGUAAUUUUAUAUUGAAGAAAGGUGUUUUUUUGUUAGAUUGAGUUUUAAACUCUUCAAUUAAUUUAGAGUUGUUUGAAUUAUACGAUGUUGUUGAGCUCAUGUUGUAUUCUAGAGGGGAUAAGCCAAGACUCAAGAUAUAUACUGCUGGAUCGGUGUAUGUUAUGUUACAGUAGAGUUUAAUUUCCUUAAAGAGAGUAAGAUAUCCGCACCUCAAUCUAAAUAUUUUAUUUAUUUAUUUUUUAUCAUUUUGUUUUUCAACUAUAAUUUGCUUUAAUUUGUGAUACAUAUACCAAUAUAUUUUAUUAAUAGACGUGCAAACAAAAACAUGACAAGUAAAAUGAUGCAAGAAAGUAUAAAACAAGCUAUAAAUAUUGAUAUAAUUAUGAAUUAUUUCAUAAAAAAUAAUAUAUUAUAAAGUUAAAAUAUUUUUAAACAUACUAGGUAUCAAUUUUUCCCCUAAAAAAAUCUUAAAAGAAAACAGUGAGAGUUGGCUAAUUCCAACUAUAUAUAGCUCAAUAGCAAACUUGAAACUUCUAUUAUAGUUUUCUACUAGUCAUGAAAGUAUGUAAAGCUAUUUGAUUGAUAAUAUAUAAAGCCAUCCACAAAGCCAAUUGAAAGUAUAUAUAGUGAUUCAAAUAAUACAUAUGUCAUAUAAAAGGAAGUUCCAACAAUAUGCUACCUUGUAUCAAUAUGUUUAGCUUACAUCUCAAAAUUAGUGUUUAAAAAGUUAGUAUUAAUUAAUUUAAAUAUUUCAGGCUCAAAACUCCUCAGACAUGUAUUGCAUUGUGGUCCAUUUAAAUACACACAAAUAGAUUCUUUGUGGUCAAGAUAGCUGUCUCUUCAUGUUUUUGUACAUAAUGUGUGGUUUCACUUCUUUGUGGAUGGAAUAAUAUAUUCAAUAUAGGAUCAGACAAAGACAUAAGUUUAAGUUUCAACAUCAGUAAUAUCAAGGUUUUCCUACUGUGAUUUAUUGAAAAAUUUAUGCUAUAGAAUAUAAGUUUUCCAUUCAUUUUUUACCGAAUCAGUUCAUUAAAAAAAUGCAUGGUGGAAAACAAAUUCUGACUGAACUUGUGGGAAAUUUCCUAUUUUGUUUUUCAUAUGAAAACAUUACUAUUUUUCUUUUCUCACCAAUUCUCAAUCAAAAUAUCUGAGGGAUAGCCACUGAACAUUUUCCAAUGAGAAAUUAUGUGGAAAAAAAGUGAUUUUUAAAAAGUGUCACAUGUCUAGGUCAUGAAAAAAAUUCAGACUUGUAUGUGAAAAAGAGUGUUAAUUAAAUUUCUCCUUAACCUUUUUCUAUGAAAUGAUCAUACUUCUCGUAAAAUAGUUACUAGUACUUUCAAAGACCUCUUUUCAGAUUUGACUUUGUAACAUUAUCCUCCUUUUGUGGUUUAUAAUGUUAUAUAUACUUAUCUCCUUUAUUAUAUUUUUUCAUAAUAAUUUUCUUACUUAUAUCUUAUUAAUACUAAAUAAUUAUAAUUGGACUAAUUUACCUAACACUACUCUAUUUUUAGGGGAAAUGUGCAGUUCUAUGAAAGUUCCAAAAUAAAUCACUCAUUCAAUCAUGAUUUCAUAGGAGGAUUUAAAAUUUCGAAGUUCUAAGUCCCAAGAUAAUAUGGGCCAAAAAGGCCAAGACUGGGUUGAAUUUAGAAGGAUUUUUCCAAGGGAGGGGAAGGUUGUCAACCAUCAAUAAAAUUCCGUCCCAUAUUAGUUGAUUAUUAUACUAAAUAUAGUUAUUUAUAUUAGUUAAUCACCUUACUAAAUCAAGAAAUCAUCAAUUAAUUUUUUUUAAUGUAAUAUCCUUGCAAUUACUUCUUUUUGAAAGAGUUCACAUUUGUUUGUGAAAUUUUCAAGAAGUUUUUUUAGGGGUGAAUUAGUAAAGUCGUCUUUUUAUUUAUGAUUUCUUAAGCAUCGUGCAAAAUGAAAAGUGAUCAACUAAUAUGGGACGGAGGGAAUAAUAAUGAUGUACUCUGUCUCAAUUAAUGUGUGUUAAUCGAAGUUUUGAGAUUUAAAUCGUUAAAUUUUGAUCGUAAAUUUGGAUAUACAAAUUUUAAGCUUUGCAAAAUAAAAUUGUAUAUUUAAAAGCUAUGCAAAGAGUGAAGUACAGUAAAUCAUAAUAAUUAAUAACUUAAAUAUUUAAAAGACAUAAAAAAAUAAUCAACAAAAUUUAGUUAACUUUUGAAAUUCCAACUAUGUGAUAUAAAUUGGAACAAAAGGAAUAGUUUAGAUAAAAUAUGCAUUCAUUUUAUCAUCUUUAGACUUUAUUUGUGAAAUUCCAUCGAAUUUAUCAUUGUAAAUGUGUGUGAGUGGCUCUCCUCCCUCCAACACCUAGGUAUAUGAGCCUAUUAUGGUCAUAUAUAUAAAUUUCAAAAUUUAAUGUCUUACACAUUGUUCUAUUCAAUAGGGUCUACUUCCAGCAUGUACCACUAAAUUCUUUAUCACAAAAAAAGAGUCCCAACAUCUAAUUCAUUCUCACCUACUUUAUUAGCAGUGAUACUUUGAUAAUUAAGAAAAAACAUCCCCUUUUAUUAUUUAAUCUUAAUCAUUUUCUUAUUUUUUUUUAGCUAAUCAUCCACCCUGACUUUCACUUUCUGUGAUAAUGGAGAGUUUGAUAUAUAAAAAAAUAAUUUAUUUUGCUAUGUUAAAUUUUGAUACUUCAACGACCUUUUAAGAUAUUAAUGGUCAGAUGAAGAAGGUUUUUGCGACUUUUCAUUACUUUUUAUUUACGAUUUGUUAUGAUGUAUUAAAAAUAAUAAGUUUUGCAUAAUUUUAAAAAAAAAAAAUUGUUUACAAAAAUACCCUUCACACUUUUUAGCUUUGAGAAAUGUAAAAUGUUUUGAGAGGGAUUUGAUGGGUAGUUAUCUGUUAUGUCAUUAAUCAAUCUAAUGCAUGUGUUGAAACUUGAAAUUACUUGUAUUACUAAUACAUGAAAAUUCAUGAUAAAAAAGUAUACCAAAAAGAUAUAAUAAUACACAAAGUUAAUACAUGCAUUAUUUCCAAGCAUAGGGACUAAAAUAAUACGAGACAAAAAAAAUUCUCUUAACAUAACUUGCUAAAAUCAACAAAUAAAAAAAUAAUUAUUUUUAAUAGAGGGACCAAAUAAAAAAUAAAACGGAGGAAAUAACUUUUAAAUAUAAAAGAGUAGUAUUAAUUUCUUAACUUUUUUCUUUAUGUUUUAUUUCUUAACUAUAAAUUAGAAAAACAGUACCAAGUAAUAAGGAGUAAUAUAAUAGAUCUACUUUUUUUUUGUUAUACUACAUUUGAAUUUAAAGAGUCUAAUUCAAAAUAUGAAUCACGUGGAUUCAACUUUCUAUCUCAAUAUUAAAUUUAUUACAUAUUUUUCAAAUUGUGAAUUCAGACUUAUUAGUUAUUGUAAAUGUAAAUCUAAUUAAAUUAUUAUAUCAAAAUUAUGCCCUACAAUAAAUAUUGAGUUUAAAACAAUUGAUGUCAUAAUGCUACAUUCACUUUUAAAGAACUUAUAACCACAUAAUAUAUGUUGGUUGGGAGAGGAAGGGGCUAGCCCAUGUCCUUUUUCUUUUUUAUUAGUAGUAAUUUAUAUCCUUUUUGGAUUUUCUUUUUUUACCGAAGGUUUAGCUAUUACAAACAACCUCUUUAUCCUGUAAAAAUAGAAAUAAAAUUUGCACAACAUCAUAUUCUCUUUGUUCCCACUUGCAAUAGUUAUCAAUGUAUAUAUUUGAUAUUUUGAAUUCAGACAUUAUUAUUUGUGGGCUCCCUCCAAACCCUAGGUAGAUGAAGCAUAAAUGUAUAAGAGUAAUUGUAGUGGUCAUAUGCAUAAAUUUUAGAAGUAAAAUCUAUAUAUAAAAGUUCUUUUCAAAUAGGGUCUACUGCCAGCAUAAUCUAUGGUACCACCAACUUGUUUUUUGUCACAAAAAAGUUCCCCAAGAAUUAAUUUAUUUUUAAUUGUUGACGAGUAGUGUCACACUAAAUGUAUACAAUAUCAAAGAACUACAUAGUUCAAACAUAUUCUUAGCACCCUGUAUGAAUCAAUUAAGGAAAGUAUUCGGCCAAGAUAUUUUCUUCAACAAGGAGAUAGAGAAUAAGGGUGUCAAUUGGGCCGACCUGUUCUAUUUCGGCCCAGUAAGACCGGUCCGCUAACGGCCCGCGUCCAGUAAGCCCAGGACCGACACCUGAUCCCCUUACUUAGUGGACUAUGCCGGUCCGGAUAUUUUUUAGGGCAAAUUGAGCGUUGAUACAUUAAUCUGAUGCGCGAGAUACAAUAAUAUAAUAUAAGCGUUGAUACAUUAAUCUGAUGCGCGAGAUACAAUAAUAUAAUAUAAGCGUUGAUACAUUAAUCUGAUGCGCGAGAUACAAUAAUAUAAUAUAAGCGUUGAUACAUUAAUCUGAUGCGCGAGAUACAAUAAUAUAAUAUAAGCGUUGAUACAUUAAUCUGAUGCGCGAGAUACAAUAAUAUAAUAUAAGCGUUGAUACAUUAAUCUGAUGCGCGAGAUACAAUAAUAUAAUAUAAGCGUUGAUACAUUAAUCUGAUGCGCGAGAUACAAUAAUAUAAGCGCUGAUACACUAAUCUGAUGCGCGAAAAUGAGGGACUUUGGAAAUUUAUAAAACUUAUAGGGGAUAAUGGUAAUAAGUAAACUAAAAGGUGAGAUUUCUGUAAUUUUUUCUAUUUUUUAUUCAGAGCCCAGUAAGGCCGGCCCGCGUACGGUAAGCCUGAGACUGACACCUGGGCCCCUUACUUAGUGGUCUGGGCUGAUCUGGAUACUUUUUGCUCAGAGCUCGGUAAGGCCGGCCCAGUAAGAGACUGAUCGACAACGCAUCGAUCUGGUAAGUAAAUUUUUGUGUGACGAUAUCAAUGAUUGUAAAAUUAAGGAAUGAACAGUUGCAACAAUCAUGUUCAAUUUCUUUUGACAAUUUUAGAUUGUGGUGCUUUGUAAUCAAGGGCGAGAAGGAAGUUCAUGGAAAGGUAGUUCACAUUGAUAAAUCACCAUACAACAUAGACUUGAUAUAUUCUUGAAGGAUAGGAAGGGAUUGGUUAUCAUCAUAACUAUACAUAAGAGGAACCAUUCUUGCAGAAUUAAGUGAAGCUUUUGAAAAUGAUCUUGAAGAUGGACUCAUUAGAUGUAAAUGUUCCUUGUUGAGUUUCUUCCAUUCAUCUUCUAUUAGAUUAAUCACAUGUUCUCUUGCCAAUUCAAUGGAAGUAUCUUUGUUUUCCUUCAUGUAACAUUCUAUGUAUGAACCAUCUUUUCCUUCUUGAUCCUCAUCCUGCACACACAACGCAUAUUCUAAAAAUGAUACAAACAUGUCACGUGUAAAGAUGAAAUUUCUUUUUGUUACCUUGGCACUUCCAAGAUCAUCCCAAAGGCGAAGAAUCGUAGCCACAGAAGAAGAUAUGGCUGAUACAUCUUCCAAAUGAAUAGAACUAACACCAAGACCUAAGAGAUAGAACAUGUGAACUAAGACUGCUUGAACUCCCGAACUAACAAGUCCAUUCUUUAGGUACUCAUUUGUUGAUGGCACCACUCCAGAAGCAAACCAUUUUGCUUCUUUUAGAAAUGCAUUGCACAAAUUUCCCCACUAAAAUUCAAAAAAAAUAAUAAUUAACAAUUAUGAGUAAUAAUAUAUAAUAAAGUAUUGAAAAUAAUUUAUUUGUAUAUAUAUAUAAUUAUCUUAAUUUAGACUUCUCAUUUUAUUAUACCCUUAUAUCUAUAAAAUAUUUCUUCUUUUUUUUUUGUUCAGUCGAAUACGUCAUAUAAAAUAUAAUAAAUUUAAUAUUUUGAAAAAUACAUUAAAAAAAUGACUAGUUAAUAAUAAGGGUAAAUUAGAAACUAAGUGAUAAAUUAUCUCUUGAACUAAGUGAUAUAUAAGUAAACUAAGUGAUAUAUAAGUAAAAAUAAACAUCUAUUUUUAAAAGUGAACGAAAAGGGUAUCAAAGCAAAUAAAACAUGUGAAUAUAUAGUACCGUAUUCCGUAGAUUUUGAGUGGGGUUUUGUCCAUAGAUUUUGUAGAUAUUAUAGCCAACGGAAUUAAUUGUAUUAUAAAGAGCCUUGUAAGGUGAUCUCAUGUAUUCUGGUAGGUCCACCAUGGCGCUCAAUUCCCACCUAAAAUAAUAAUAGCCUUUAAGGUUAUGGACCAACAAAAAAAAAAUAACGACGUUUUACACAAUCAGAUCAUUUUUAUCUCAAAUAAAAUACCUAUUGACGGCUUGAGUGAAAAGGGUUAACUCUUCAAUAGUCCCAUAAACAUCAAAGAUAUCAUCAAUGACAUAAACAAAAGAGAUGCAUUUUGCUAGUUCAAUUCUUUGUUGUGACAUUCUUGGAUCUUGAAGGACUGCCAUUGACCAAGUAUACCAUUUUAAUGGUUGAUCUCUCAAAAGCUUCAAUUCUUCAGCUAAACCGAGACUUUUCCACCACCUAUGUAUGUAUACAUAUAUAUCAUAAGAAGAUUAAAUUGUUUAUAUAUAUAUAUAGAUAGUAUAAAGAUUUUGAAUAUUAUAUAUUAACGGAAAGAAGAAAGAUUUGAAUCAAGACCUCCAUAUUCUAAAUAGUGAGAAAGACAUUUUGAUAUUCAAUCGAGACCUUGUAGGAACUUGUGAUCAGUAGGGGCGGAGCUAGAAGUUUGGGUCUGGAUUCGAUUAAAUCCAAUAAAAUUUGCUCAAAUAGUGUGUUAGUAUUAAGAAUUUUAUUACAUAUGGAUAAAUAUUAAGUUUAGAACCUAAUUUAUUAACACUUGAAAUCGUCAUUUUAAAUUCAAAACCCAUAAGGUUAAAAUUCUGAUUUUGUCUCUGGUGAUUAGUGCUUUUAAACUUGUUUGUAGCAUGUAAAUUGUCUUAUUUUAGGUUAUUAAUUCAAUUUUUUAAUAACCUAUAGCUUUUUGAGUUUAAUUUUAUAUGUAAAGAUAGUUAAAGGAUUUUUGUAACAUCAAGUCCCCUAAAAAUGAGAUCAAUAACCUAGAAAGUGAAAUAAGUUACCUAUUAUAAUAAGUUAAAAUAUAAUGAUGGUAUCAAACUCCUUUAUAGUCGAUAUCAGUAUAAAUAAGUUAAAUGCUUAAUUAUAGGUAAUCUGAUGGUGUAAAACUCUUAUAUUGUUAGGGGUCGUUUGGUUACUGUAUAAGAGACAUCUUAUUCAUGUAUAAAAAGUUGACAUUAGCUUUACUGUGUUUGGUAGAAGUUUUGUGUUAGGUAUAAAAGUCAGCAUAACUUAUACCACGUUUGGUUGGUAAGAAUUUAAAUGUUGUAUAAAAGUUAUUCAUGUAUUAAUUUAUACGGUGUUUGGUUGCAUUUUUAUAGUCCUACAUAAUUAAUACCAACAUAACUUAUGAGGGAAUCUAUGUAUAAAGUUAUGCAGGGUAGAAGGUGGAAUAAGUUAUGUGGGUAUUAGUUAUACAUGUAUUAAAAUGAUAGAUUACAUAUUUACCCUAUUAAUUUAUUUUUUAUUUUUUAAUUGGAAACUUUAUUGUUUCCUAUAUACGUUUGUUGUUUUUAUUUCUUUUUAUAUAUAGAUUAUUUUCAUUUCUUUUAAUUUAUUUUAUUUUAUUUUAUUUGGAAACUUUACUGUAUUCCUAUCUACGUUUGUUAUUUUUAUUUCUUUUUAUAUAUAGACUAUUUUCAAUUUUUUUUUUAUACAUUUACCGUUUUUAGAUUUAUGCAAAUAUAAAUAUUUUUUUAAUAUUAGAGAUUUGAUUGUAUAUUUUUUGACGGUACAUAUGCUAAUCAAAUAUUAGCAUUAUGCUGGAGUUGUUCUAUCAGUUUAGGAUUUUUUUGUUUCCAAAUUAGAUUAUUUCUAGUUGUUUUUGUUUUGUCUAUUUUGUUGACCGACUUGGUCACUCUUGGACCUUGUUUGGACACAUUUUUAUUUGAUGAAUAAAUGGACAUGGUCCAAUGUUGAUUAAAAAAAAUAAAAAAUAUUAGCAUUGUAUAUUAUUCAAUAUAUUCCACAUUUUAUUAAAAUGUAUUAUUAUUUUGUAAAUAAUAUAUAUUAAUAAUUUACUACAAGUUUAAUAUAAUAGUUAAUAAUUCAUGUAUUGUAAUCUCUACAUAACUAAAUAAUACCUACAUAACUAAUAUCCACAUAGCUAAUACCCGCAUAACUAAACCCUGCAUAACUAAACCCUGCAUAAUUAAUACAUGCAUAACUAAACCCUGCAUAACUAAACCCUGCAUAAUUAAUACAUGCAUAACUAAACCCUGCAUAACUAAACCCUGCAUAAUUAAUACAUGCAUAACUAAACCCUGCAUAACUAAACCCUGCAUAAUUAAUACAUGCAUAACUAAACCCUGCAUAACUAAACCCUGCAUAAUUAAUACAUGCAUAACUAAACCCUGCAUAACUAAACCCUGCAUAAUUAAUACAUGCAUAACUAAACCCUGCAUAACUAAACCCUGCAUAAUUAAUACAUGCAUAACUAAACCCUGCAUAACUAAACCCUGCAUAAUUAAUACAUGCAUAACUAAACCCUGCAUAACUAAACCCUGCAUAAUUAAUACAUGCAUAACUAAACCCUGCAUAACUAAACCCUGCAUAAUUAAUACAUGCAUAACUAAACCCUGCAUAACUAAACCCUGCAUAAUUAAUACAUGCAUAACUAAACCCUGCAUAACUAAACCCUGCAUAAUUAAUACAUGCAUAACUAAACCCUGCAUAACUAAACCCUGCAUAAUUAAUACAUGCAUAACUAAACCCUGCAUAACUAAUACCUGCAUAACUAAACCCUGUAUAACUAAUACCUGCAUAACUCUAACCAGUAACCAACCGGCCCCUUAGUGUAUAAUAGUUAAAUUCAACUAAUUAAUAUACCUGGAAACUUGAGCCAAUUCAUGUUGAUGUAUCUCUUUUGUUAUGGAGUAGUCCAUAUUUGCCAAUUCUUGUAAGGUGCUUCUUCCCCAUCCAUUAAUUCCCUUAAAGUUAUUGAUGAAGCUUUUGGCCUUGCAACUUGCUAAACUCUUAUGGUAUGGAUACUUCAAUGUUUCUUUAAUAAUUCUAGCUUCAUCACAUGAGUCACUAUUUGCAAGACAUGCAUUUAGGUGCUCACCACUAUAAUUUGCAACUUCAUCAAGUAUGUGUUCACCUUCUACACCAAGUUGUGAUGCUUCAUAUAGAUCAAUUAAUCCAUUUACAUCUUGGCUAAGGUUUAAUCCAAAUGUCCCAUCAUCA